GUAAAAACAAAUCGGUCCAGCAGGAGCUUCACAACUAUAGUUGGAUACGUUCGCUACGGGGCAGGAUCACCUCCGCUGUCCAAGUCGAGGAGUUUGUCUCCCUUUGGAUAAGGUUACAAAGCAUCCAGUUGACACCGGGCGUUCGUGACUCCAUAAUCUGGAGGUGGACAGCCGAUGCUUCUUACUCCACCCGUUCAGCAUACAGGAUCCAAUUCCAAGGUUCCUAUGACGGGUUCCGUAGCGAACUCAUUUGGAAAGCACAUGCUGAGAAUAAAGGAAAGGUGUUUGCUUGGAUAAUGGUGCGAGAAAAAGUCUUAACAGCGGAUAAUCUUCAGAAGAGAGGAUGGCCUCACCAGGACCAAUGCGCCUUAUGCAACGGACCUUUAGAAUCAUGCCUUCACCUAUCACUCCUCUGCCCAUUCGCCAAGACAGUAUGGAACCAAGUUCUUUCAUGGGAGCAUUUCGAUGCACAGUUGAUCUGUCCCACUCAAGACCCACCUAACCUGAAGUCUUGGUGGCAAGAGGCCGCAAGCAAAAUAGCGAAAGAAGAAAAAAGAGGCUUCAACGGGUUGGUCAUCUACACACUAUGGAACAUAUGGAAGGAAAGGAAUAGGAGAAUUUUUAACAACAUCCAGGAGUCAGCAAUGCAAGUGGCACUAAGGGUAAAGGAGGAGAUCGAGCAAAGGAAAAGGGCUUUAGC
RNAcentral lists this long non-coding RNA (700 nucleotides) under Sorghum bicolor (sorghum). RNAcentral describes it as "long non-coding RNA (SBIC_LNC009218)". Lineage: Eukaryota; Viridiplantae; Streptophyta; Magnoliopsida; Poales; Poaceae. The record is from RNAcentral.